RNAcentral lists this ribosomal RNA (253 nucleotides) under uncultured bacterium. Its description in RNAcentral is "partial 16S ribosomal RNA". It matches the Rfam family "Bacterial small subunit ribosomal RNA", at positions 524 to 776 of the family's 1533-position model. The record is from RNAcentral.
UACAGAGGUCUCAAGCGUUGUUCGGAUUCAUUGGGCGUAAAGAGCGUGUAGGCGGUCCGGUAAGUCGGCUGUGAAAGUCCAGGGCUCAACCCUGGGAUGCCGGUCGAUACUGCCGGACUAGAGUUCGGAAGAGGCGAGUGGAAUUCUCGGUGUAGCGGUGAAAUGCGUAGAUAUCGAGAGGAACACCUGCGGCGAAGGCGGGUUGCUGGGCUGACACUGACGCUGAGGCGCGAAAGCUAGGGGAGCGAACAGG